UACCAGCUCCCCGAGUGGUCGGGACGGUUAUUUGGCCUAAAGCAUCCGUAGCCGGCCCUGUCCUUCUUCCGUUAAAUCAAACGGCCCAACCGUUAGGCUGCGGAAGAUACCACAGGGCUAGGGGGCGGGAGAGGUGGACGGGACUCCAAGGGUAGGGGUAAAAUCCUCUGAUCCUUGGAAGACCACCGGUGGCGAAGGCGGUCCACCAGAACGCGCCCGACGGUGAGGGAUGAAAGCUGGGGGAGCGAACCGG
This 253-nucleotide ribosomal RNA is filed under the name uncultured archaeon. Its description in RNAcentral is "partial 16S ribosomal RNA". It matches the Rfam family "Archaeal small subunit ribosomal RNA", at positions 474 to 727 of the family's 1478-position model. The record is from RNAcentral.